UAGUAUUUAGCAUUUAUUGAGCACUAAUAAUGCACGAAGAGUUUGCUAAGAACUUUCCUUUAUUAUUUCAUUUGUCUCACAAUUACCUGUAGGUAAAUAUAUCUUAUAUAUCCUGUAUUUCUCUCUUUUUCAAAUGAGAAAUUAAGUCUCCUGAGUGAAAAGUACCAUCAUCCCCUGCAAGCAUGUGCAAAAACAUCUGAAAUGAGUAUAAAGUACAAGCAGGAAGAUGAAUAGAUCCCUGGGGAGAUUUUACUUCACUGAUAGGCUUCUACCAGUACUACAUUUGUUAAAAAAAAUAUGCAAGUUGGAACGCUAAGAGGAAACACCCCAAGUCUAAGGAGAAACAUCGUUAAGAAUAAAGUCUUAGAAAAGCAUUUCAAUUGGAAAGCCCCAUCCCUUGAGUCAUAAAACAUCCCGCUAUCCUGUGAGAAUGAUGAACAGCCACAGCCACGCUGGGCCUGUGCUUGUACAACAAACUUGACUUUGCUUCUGCGCUUCCCAGAAGACACUCCAGCAUGCUCUGGGAGUAGGCAUACUGGGUAUUUGCACCUGAUGUGCAAGAAAGAGUGCUUGGAAGAUCACAGAAGAGUCAGACAGGAGGAGAGCCGAGGGGUUGAAACCCUCCCGCGAACAGGUACCUGGCACGUACCUGGCACACCAUUCUCCUCCGGAGAGUGCUGCUCUGUCGCCCAGGCUGGAGUGCAGUGGCACAGUCACAGCUCACUGCAGCCUCAAACUCCCAGACAGUGUCUCACUAUGUUGCCCAGGCUGGCCUUGAACUCCUGCCCUCAAGGGAUCCCAAAUAAAUAUAUUUAUUUCUAAAUUCAUUCUAAAUGUUUGCAAUGUUAAGUAUGUGUGGCAAUUUUAUUUUGAAAACAUUCAGAACCUACAGCAAAGUUGCAAGAAUAUUACAAGUUAAUGAUUAUAUGCUCUUCCCCUCUAUUCUCCCACCAUUGAUACUUAGCCAUGCCAACUCUCUCCAUCUCUAUAUUCUACACAUUUACAGUGCAAUUAUCAAAUUUAGAAAACUUAACAUUGACACAAUGCUAUUAUCUAAUAUGUGGUGAAUAUUCAAAUUUUGUUGAUGGUUACAAAAUUUCUGCAAGCAAGGAAACCUGAGUUCAGUGUGGUUCCCAGGGCCUGCUACCUCCUUACUGACUGAGACCUGGGCGUUUGGCCGAAGCACACAUCUCUCAACAGGGGCCACUUAUAUCUUUAUCAAGGGGUGCCUGGGGUGUGUGUGUGUGUGUGUGUGUCUCUGUGUGUGUAUGUGUCUGUGUGUGUGAAAAAACAGAGAGAGAAAUGAAAGUUGUGGAGGUGAGAAAGUAUUUCAUAGGUUAGAUAUUAGUCAUCAUGAACAUUUUUGCAUUUAAAAUGAGUAUCUUAUAGGACAGAAGUUCCUAACGCAGAGUUUUUAAUUUUGUUUUGCUUUUUAUUUUCUAAAAUGACCUUUUAAAAUAAAAUUCCUCCAGCCUGGCCAACAUGGCGAAACCUCAUCUCUACUGAAAAUACUAAAAUUAGUGGGGCGUGGUGGCGAACGCCUGUAAUCCCAGCUACUUGGGAGGCUGAGGGAGGAGAAUCGCUUGAACCUAGGAGGCAGAGGUUACAGUGAGCCAAGAUCAUGCCACUGCACCCCAGCCUGGGCGACAGAGCAAGACUCCGUUUUGAAAAAAUAAAAUAAAAUAAAUAAAAUUCCUCCCUACGAGACAUGAUACCACUAACUCACCCCUCUUCCCAAAUUUGCAAAUCAAGUUAUUAAAGCUCUUUUCAAUUCAUUUUUCCUUUCUGAACAAUGACUAUUUAAUAUAAAGAGUUAACUCGUUCUGUUUUUCAAUACAAAUAAGAAUUACAAACUGUAGAGCUAUUUCUAGCAGAAGUACUUUCUUACGGAACCAAUUUUUCUUCUGAUUAAUUCAAAUUUAUUUUAAACGUGUGAAAGAAUUUCAAAUACUGUUACACAGAUAUUCUAAAUGUCUAAAAUCAACUCUGAAAUAAAGUCCCUACCUGGAGCCUCCCUGGCUCACUUUCUCUUCCUUAGCUAUUCUCUUUUUCUUUCUUCCUGUAUUUUUUCAUUGCAAAUCUUAAAGUCGUGGUAAGACCGAAAACAAGCAAACAAUUAACUGCACAAGGUAACCCCCAUUAGAGAUAGUGCUGUGAAUACCUGCAGAGGGGGCUGUGGAAACAGUGACAGGCUGCACAUGGGGUGGGGGUGGGAGUGAGGAAGACCCAGGAGGGGCCUGGCAGGGGAGCCAGAAGGGCAAAGAGCAGCAGGAGCUCCGCAGGACUUAGUGGGUGAGCAGGCGGGCGAGUGAGGGUCUUGCGGGGUGCCGGGAGCAGGCGGGCGAGCGAGGGUCUUGCGGGGUGCUGGGAGCCCGCAGGACUUAGUGGGUGAGCAGGCGGGCGAGCGAGGGUCUUGCGGGGUGCUGGGAGUGGAUGCGCUAAAGUCUGAGAAGUGGCCAGGGUCCUGAUCGCCGGGGGGUCUGUCGUCCUCAGGGAGGAGCUGGACUUUCCGGCCAGCACAAAGCAAAGCCCUUUGAUGAGAUGCUUUGCUUCAGAAGUCACCUUGGCAGCUGCGUCAGGGAACGGAUGUAGCGGCUCAAGAGUGAACCCGGAAAGGCUCCUAAGGAGGUCCCUGCCUCAGUCCAGGCAAGGCUGUGGCCUAGACGAGGUGGCGGGCUCGUGUGGAUGUGGAGAGAGGUGGGUUUUAGGGGUAGAGCUGGUCCGACUUCCUGAUAAGUAGAUACGGAGUGGGAGGAGUCAGGAGGUCUGUUCCGGGCCCGCCAUUGUGGAGCCGGAAGGGAGGCCACGCUGACAGGGAAGCUGCUGUGAGGUGAAGAAGGUUCGCUGGUUUUCUGGCCCGUACCUGUGCAGGGGUCCCAGGGCCC
RNAcentral lists this long non-coding RNA (2885 nucleotides) under Homo sapiens (human). Its description in RNAcentral is "non-protein coding lnc-EXOC2-21:1". The record is from RNAcentral. Lineage: Eukaryota; Metazoa; Chordata; Mammalia; Primates; Hominidae.